CCCAGCGAGCUCGCCCACCCCGCGCGCCGGGGCCCGGCGAGAAGGUUCGAGCUGUUGGCGGGGAGAAAGACGGCGAGACCCGGAGAGGCCGCUCACUGGAUUCGCCCCGGCCCGGCCCCGAGCGCAGUUACCCGUCCCGGGCGGGAGCUGCCGCCGACGCCUGCCGCUCCUCGGCCGCCGCCGUCUCCGCCUCCGCUCCCCAGCGUUGCCCGUUCCCGCCUUCUCCUCGGUGCCCGCGGGCCCCACACGCCGCUGCCUGGGGGAGGAGGGCGCGGGGACGUCGCCAAAGGUGCCGGGCAAGUUCCGGAGCACCGCGGGCCGGCUGGGAGCCGAGCGUCCGCGGGGUCAGCUGCGGGGCGCCCAGCUCCUGCUCCCCCGGACCGAAACGGGCACGACUGUCCCCGCGCCUGCAGCAGCUGCCUCCGCGCGUAUCCGCGCUCGGCUCGGGCACCCGGCGAUUAUCACUGGGGCGCGCGGUGACGUCACCGGCCCCAGCUCCGCCGCCGCCUCCCCGAGGUGUCCUUGAGAACUGCGGGGCACGCGCGCCGCGCACACGCGCACACACGCACUGCGCGCCCGGUGCCUCCCGCGCACACGCCGCGUCCCGCCCCGCGCGCUCCUCUGCUUACAUGGACGCCGCCCUCGAGCAUCCUGGACCGUGCCCGGCGCCCUGUGGCCACACGGAUGACCAAGGAAACACCUCUCUCUCUCACACGCUCCAACCCCGCCCGCGCCCACGCGGGUGCUCCUCCUGCAGCCCGCCGGCCACAGCCGCUCUGGGCACACACUGACACCCACCAGCCACGCCUCGACCGCACACAGCCAGCCGCGCCCGCAGACGCUCCUCUGAACUCAGACCUUCACCGCAGGUUCCCGCCGUCAUUUCCCAGCAGCCCCUCCAGCCCCCGGAGGAAGGGAAGGGACUUGCGGAGGGAGCACAGCGCCCACGGGGCACAGGCCUUGCUGGGUGGUUAUGCGGAGGAGAGAGACAGCGACCCCUCGUCAAAGACGGCUCCCUUUUCUCACUGUGUCCUGACUGGGGCGAGGCGGGGGGAGUUCUUGCCCCCAGAGACCACGGAAGCGCAGGCGACAGACACCUCAUGGGCUGACUGCGGGGCGAGUGCCCUCCCCUUAGGGUCCUUCGGAGGGCUGACCCUGAUCUGUCUCUCUAGGGCCAAGGAUCAGCGGCUUUCCUAAGUCACACCGCCUCAUGCCUCCCCCAUGGGUCUUUGUUGCGGUGCAGAGCGUGCGGGAGCUGCAGGCCUAGGGUGGGCCGCAGGCCUCUGCCCCUCUCCUUCCCUCCAGGCCAGCCCAGCCCCUGCGCCAUCUGCCUUAGAGCAGAACCUACUGACCCCACUGCCCUGGGUGUGCCAUCCUGCUUCCUUCCCUCUCAGCCUCUCCAGCACUGCGGGGCAAGGAGAGCCAACUGGGAAGGGUGUUGGGACUCAGGGUGGCUCUGCCCCAAACCUGCUUGUCCUCCACCAGCCAGGUUGCCCCUCCCCCUCGGUGCAGCUUCAGCCUGACCGUUUGGGCUGGCCCUCAUUCCUUCACCCUUUACCGACCCUUCUCUCUCCCAAGGCAGGCACGCACCCACCCCCCCACGCAUACCCCCAGUGCAUCACACUCAGGAAACCUCCCCAGACCUUUGGGGCUCACAGCUCGCGACGGGCGCUCUCACUGGCCGGGGUGGACAGUGAAGGACGCUGGGCAGCUGGCAGUUUCAGCUUCAUCAGAGACUGCGUCUCCCUCUGCCUCUGCCGGCCCUGUGGCGCUGGACACCCACCCUCAGCCUGAUGCUGCUCCCCACAGCAGUGGGAUCCGCUGUCCAUGGUGUUAAAGCUGAACCCUGAACCCGUCUCGACUUCUCCGGCCUUGCCUCCAGACUUUUCGUCCGUCCUCUCCCAGGAAGAGUUGAGGCCCAGGCCCGGCUCAGGUUGUGCUCCAGUCGCCCCGCACCGUGGGCCCAGCCUCGCUGCACCCGAGCCUUCUCUCCAGCGCUGCCCACACCGCCGCUCCUCCCCAGCACACGAGAAUUUGUUUGAGGGUUUAUUUAUUUGCCAGCUCCGCAGAUGGGGGCAGGGGACUCCCCGCUCGGAGUGAAGGGCGUGGGGAGGCUGCGCAGCCAGGCCGCUCAGGGCUCCAGGUUCCAGGCGGCUGCCUCCGUGCGCACAAAGGCCCUGCGCACCACGGCCCGACAACUUGGAGACGGGUCAGGUGGCUUCGCGGGGUGGGGGAGGGAGGAGGAAGGGAGGGACGCAGGAGACCCCCUCCCCUUUCCCUCCCCUCCGCCACCGUGAAAGCCUGCGAAUAGCGUGGGAUUAAACAAACCCACAGAAACGGUGAAGAAUCUCCUCCCUUCCUGCUCCUGCCUCCUCCUCACACUGCAGCUGCUCCUGGG
This 2398-nucleotide long non-coding RNA is filed under the name Equus caballus (horse). RNAcentral describes it as "lncRNA (ENSECAG00000049462.1)". Lineage: Eukaryota; Metazoa; Chordata; Mammalia; Perissodactyla; Equidae. The record is from RNAcentral.